Molecule: RNA transcript, 3053 nt
Organism: Tachysurus vachellii
Lineage: Eukaryota; Metazoa; Chordata; Actinopteri; Siluriformes; Bagridae
Gene name: growth arrest-specific protein 1
Exons: 2
Source: RefSeq, a predicted model, not a curated record
CGUAUAGGGAAAGGGGGAGAGACAGGGGGCUCUUUCUUCUCUUUCUUCUCUCUUUCACUCCCCUUCUCUCUCCGUCACAAGCGACGCGGUGAAAGUGAAAAUCCGUACAAGAGGAAUGAGAUCCACACCAUUUCUGCGCUUUGAGAUGCUCCCAGAUGCGGUAAAGUGGAUAUAAUCUAAACUUCUAAACUUUUUACCUGUUAAAAAGUUUUGUGGACACUCUGGAGGUCGUUUCUAUGGUAACCACUUUAAGGAAAAUCGUGUGUAAACACUGGGCUGACAGAUUCGCCCAAUACGACAAUGACCUUUUGGCAUUUUUUACAAGCUGGUUUAUUUCUCAUUUGUAACGUUUACAAACUAACCGCGUUCAGUCUGGGGUGUGAAGACGGAAGGAGUUUAUAACUUCCACACUCUGAUUGAUAAAUGUGGACCGGAAGUGAGUGUGUGAAACGCAACCCAUAGCGCGCGAGCAUGGGGACCUGGCGUGGCCUCGCCGUGUUCCUCUUGUCUUUCGCGGUGGCCCUGAACGCUGAGCCCGCGUGCUGGCAGGCUGUGCUCCGGUGCCACGAGGAGCGCGAGUGCGAGCUCGCUUACACGCAGUACCUGGCCGCGUGCGACGGGUACAUACGUGGCGCACUACGCCGCUGCCCGAGUCACUGCGUCGGUGCGCUCGUGCGGUUAAACCAAACGGCCCGCGGUCCGGACCUGGAGACGUGCGACUGCGGAGUCGAUUCGGAGUGCCGGCGCGCAAAACGAGCCAUUGAACCGUGCCUGCCGCGCACGCACGCUCGUGAAGCCGGUGGUAUCGGGUGCACGGAGGCACGGCUGCGUUGCGAGGAGGACGUUGUUUGCCGCGAGGCUCUGUCCGCGUACCUGGCGUCCUGCGGUCAGCUGUUCAACGGGAGGAAGUGCUCGGCGCGAUGCAGAGGCACCAUCGAGCAGCUGCGCCUGCUGCCAGACGGAGCCCUACUCGAGCGGUGUGUAUGCGACGGCGUGGAGCGGCCCUUCUGCGAGGUGGUCAAGGACAACAUGAGUCGCCUGUGCGCGCUCUCAGACCGUGGGCUCGCCCCCGAUCAGGAUGUCCCGGAUGACGUCUACGAGGACGAGGAUUACGAAUGGAAAGUGGAGCGCGACAUGGACACGGGAGCCGUGGUUUCGCCUUCACGUGCCUUUCGUUCCUUGAGCCAUCUGGCCCUGUUUCUGGGGUCACUCGCGGUGACCUUUCUCGGGGUUUGACCCGGGCAAAAGCUCUUUUGCGUAUGCACAGAUUACACUAACUCACUGUUUGCUGCAUGAUACAGAUAAUAAUACUGCGAUGAGAUUGCUCCAUAUCGCGAUAUGCAUUGCGAUAUAUCAGUGAACCCUUUAGAUCCAUGGUUAAUGAUGGGCCUGCAUUAUUCUUACUGGGAUUUGCAUGUACACAAAACACUCAUGAAGAACACAGGAUCUGAUAACGCUAUUAUGGAUUAAUUACGCAGCAUAUGUACCACCAAAGGCCAGUAAUAAUGCAAAAUAUCAAUUCAAAAUUGAUAUCUUGUGCCAUCAUGAAGACUUGACUCUCUUGUGGAUUUUGUUUUAUUUUAUUAAUAACUUUCUUGCAGAAACAUAAGAGAAAAUUAUAAUUCCGGAUCACAAAAUUCAUAAUUCGAAACUGACCUCGAGCCUUCAGUAGCUAAUGAGAGAAUGUGAAAGAGAAUAAAAAUACAAGUUCCUCUACUCUGUUUUCCUCUUCCUUUCUCUCCGUCCUCACUUUUUGUCUGGUUUGUUUAAUCCAAGUGCUUCCUGAAUGGCGUCUUUUUUUUAUUUAAGCAAGACUCACAACAAACAGAGAACUCGUGUGCCGUGUGUUUGCGUACCCCUCUUUGCCCUGUUUGCUCAUUGUUGGGAUGAUUAUACUUCAAAUAUUUGCAGGAGACGGCUGGAGAAAAGAGCAGCUUUCAGGAUCGAGUUGUUAAAUUAAGUGGAGAGGCUCUUCACAGGCUCAUAAAUAUCCCCCUCCACUCACUGUCUAUUCUCUCUCCUUCUCUCUCUCUCUCUGUCUCACUUUCUGUCUGUCUGUCUGGCCUCAGCUCAGUGAAUUAUCCCCCGGGGUGACCCCUUUCCUCUCUCCCUCUUUCCUUUCUCUUUUUAUUCCUCCCCUCCCCCCUAAACAUAGAGGAAAUACUUGAUCUCUCUCUCUCGCUCUCUCUCUCAGUUCUGAGUUGAGCCUUUGUUUCCGGUAUAAAGUGGAUUUCUGUUGCACAACUGUCAUGCACGGUCUCUUCCAGGACGACUCCACCACCAUCCACAGGGAAUGAUAUCUGACAGAGGAUAAAAAUGAUGUGAAUCAUAUUCUACAGCCUUCACACUCAAUAGAUCUAUAUGCAGCUGGACACCUAUAGGAGAUUUUGGAGAGUUGUGUUAGACCAUGUCCUCCAUCAUCUCUGUCAAAACACCAAGAAAAACGACACCCUUACAGCAAGGCACAUUGAAUCUGUUCUGGUGGCUCGUGGUGGUCCAAAGCCUUCCCAGCACACUUUAUGUUGUUUUUUAACCCACCCCUCCUUUAAUUUGUCACCCGUCUGUCUGAAGGUGCCUCCGUCAUGUUUGCAGCAGUCUAAGUGAUGAAGCGUGCAAUACACACAAGGCAAUUUUGCUGUGAAAACAACUCGGCAGAAACAUCUCCGUCUCUCUGCCCCUUGCCCUCCACCCCUCCGGCCUGCUUCUGGGAACAAAAUCAAAACAAACAAAAGUAGGAGAGCUAUUCUCACUCAGGACCUGGGCCUUGGUGUCUCAUUUAUCUAGAUGCCAGGACAGACCAAUAUUUCACCCUUCCCUAUACACACAAAGCUCAAGAGCCCCUGAGAAACGGUCGGUUCAGAUUUUAGUGUCUCGUGGGAACAAUGUUCUAUUCAUGACGCCAAUGUCAGCGUAAGAUGGAUACUGUGUGUGUAGUGUGAUGAGAUUUUCCCCAUUCCAAGGAUUAACCCUUUUUAGCCUUCAAAUUCAGUCUGGUUCUGGAACAAACAGAAAAAGGCUGGAAGAGGAUUUGGAAAAUUUUUGAUAGACACGAG